This 253-nucleotide ribosomal RNA is filed under the name uncultured bacterium. RNAcentral describes it as "partial 16S ribosomal RNA". It matches the Rfam family "Bacterial small subunit ribosomal RNA", at positions 524 to 776 of the family's 1533-position model. The record is from RNAcentral.
UACGUAGGGCGCAAGCGUUGUCCGGAAUUAUUGGGCGUAAAGAGCUCGUAGGCGGCCUGUUGCGUCCGCUGUGAAAUCCCGGGGCUCAACCCCGGGCCUGCAGUGGAUACGGGCUGGCUAGAGGCAGGCAGGGGAGAACGGAAUUCCUGGUGUAGCGGUGAAAUGCGCAGAUAUCAGGAGGAACACCGGUGGCGAAGGCGGUUCUCUGGGCCUGUACUGACACUGAGGAGCGAAAGCGUGGGUAGCAAACAGG